This 435-nucleotide ribosomal RNA is filed under the name uncultured organism. RNAcentral's name for it is "bacterial SSU rRNA". It matches the Rfam family "Bacterial small subunit ribosomal RNA", at positions 346 to 794 of the family's 1533-position model. The record is from RNAcentral.
GUGCAGCAGUCGAGAAUUUUUCUCAAUGGGGAAACCCUGAUGGAGCGACGCCGCGUGGAGGAUGAAGGCCCUCGGGUCGUAAACUCCUGUCAUGCGGGAACAAGAAAGUGAUAGUACCGCAAGAGGAAGAGACGGCUAACUCUGUGCCAGCAGCCGCGGUAAUACAGAGGUCUCAAGCGUUAUUCGGAUUCAUUGGGCGUAAAGGGUGCGUAGGUGGCGAUGUAAGUCUGGUGUGAAAUCUCGGAGCUUAACUCCGAAACUGCAUUGGAUACUGCGUUGCUUGAGGAUUGUAGAGGAGAGUGGAAUUCACGGUGUAGCAGUGAAAUGCGUAGAUAUCGUGAGGAAGACCAGUUGCGAAGGCGACUCUCUGGGCAAUUCCUGACACUGAGGCACGAAGGCCAGGGGAGCGAAACGGGAUUAGACUACCCCCGUAGU